Callithrix jacchus (white-tufted-ear marmoset) is the source of this 2647-nucleotide long non-coding RNA. RefSeq lists it as uncharacterized. The record is from RefSeq and is a predicted model, not a curated record. Lineage: Eukaryota; Metazoa; Chordata; Mammalia; Primates; Cebidae.
UGAAGAAUGAGAGCAGGAAGUGCCAGGCUCCAGGGGGUGGGGCAGGCCCCGCCAGGGGAGGCAGAGGGCACUGAAGCCACCCCUGACCGACUUCACAAGAUAAGGCCCACCCUCACCUCCCCACUUCCUCCUCUCCAACCCCAGGGUCUCCUCCGCUUCCACAUCUUGUUGACUUUUGAAUUUACAAGGUGUGCCAGUUGCCAAGGCCCCCGGUUGAUUACACCCCUGGACCUGCCUUAGGAAAGCAUCCUCCUCCCCCAGCCCCUACCAGCAACUGGGAGGUGGGGCUGGGAACAUAAGAUGAGAUCUCUGAGGUGCUGGGAAGAAAUUAAAAAGAGGAAACAUACUGAAAAGAAGACAGAAGAGAGAACGCGAAGGGAAGAGUGGUCACCAGCCCACUCCCAGGCCAGGAUCCCAGCACACUCACCUCUGGAGACUGGCUACGACGAGGGGCAUCCAGACUGCUCCUGCAGCGAGAGAGACUCUGGUUAGACACAAGGAAGAACUUGCUGCCACUGAGGGAUGUUCAGCUCGGAGAGAGAAGGGGAGUCUCCUGAAGUGCCAUGGCAUUUCGAAUUGAGGAGGCAAUGGCAUUUGUCAUUUGUGUUAACAAUACGCCACACCAUUGAAAACUGUACAAUGGCUGCAGCCAGCAGUCUAGGAAGUUUCGCAUCUGAAAUCAAAAGCUAGAGCCACGAAAACAGCAGGUCGUGGUGGAACUGCCUCUAAAAUAAAUGGAAACACUCGCCUGACUAAUUUGAAAUUCAACUCACAAAAAGGAAACAAAGCCAAAUUGUUCUUUUCCUGUUUCUAAUAUUUUUGCUCUCACAUUUGGAUUAGUUAAUCCAACUACCUGUUUGUGGGUGGGCCUGCUGGGGACCAGAAUGGAGCGCUAACUUGCCCAAAGGCACACAGUGUGGCAGGCAUGUUUGGCCUGACCCCUUUCUACCUCUCCGGCAGGCAAUUCAGUGUUGGGAAAAUCUUGGCUACAACGAAAUGGUAUUCCUAGAAGCAGCUAGGCACUGCAAUUUGGUUUGUUGUGGGGCUUUGCAGUUUCUAAACUAAAUGAUUUAUUAAGAAUAGAUGUGUGAGGCCGGGCGUGGUGGCUCCUGCCUGUAAUCCCAGCUACUCCGGAGGCUAAAGCAGGAGAAUCGCCUGGACCCAGGAGACAGAGGUUGCAGUGAGCCAAGAUUGCACCAUUGCACUCCAGCCCGAGCAACAAGAACAAAACUCCAUCUCAAAGAAAAGGACUAGAUGUGUGAGAUACUAUCUCACGCCAGUUAGAAUGGCGAUCAUUAAAAAGUCAGGAAACAACAGAUGCUGGAGAGGAUGUGGAGAAAUAGGAAUGCUUUUACUCUAUUGGUGAUAGUGUAAAUUAAUUCAACCAUUGUGGAAGACAGUGUAGCGAUUCCUUGAGGAUCUAGAACCAAAAAUACCAUUUGAUCCAGGAAUCUCAUUACUGGAAAUAUACCCGAAGGAUUAUAAAUCAUUCUACUAUAAAGAUACAUGCACAUGUAUGUUUAUGGCAGCACUAUUCAUAAUAGCAAAGACUUGGAACCAACCCAAAUGCCCAUCAAUGACAGACUGGUUAAAGAAAAAGUGGCAUAUAUACACCAUAGAAUACUAUGUAGCCAUAAAAAAGGAUGAGUUCACGUUCUUUGUAGGGACAUGGAUGAAGCUGGAAACCAUCAUUCUCAGCAAACUAACACAGGAACAGAAAACUAAACACUGCAUGUUCUCGUAAGUGGGAGCUGACAAUGAGAACACAUGGACACAGGGAGGGGAACAUCAUACACCGGGUCCUCUCCAGGUGGGAGUAGCUAGGGGAGGGAUAUCAUUAGGAUAAAAACCUAAUGUAGAUGAUGGGUUGACAGGUGCAGCAAACCAUCAUGGCACAUGAUACCUAUGUAACAAACAUGCACGUUCUACACAUAUAUCCCAGAACUUAAAGUAUAAUCUAAAAAAAUAAGAACAGAUUUGAAAGCAGCAAAAGGGGUUGAUUUCAAUGCUUCAUCUAUGGGAAGAUUGCCAUGAUCUCUCAGCAUUUCUAUCCUAAGCUGCUCCCUCCCCUAGGAGGUGCUUUAUGUGAACCUGGGGCUGGGAGAUUCUGUGUGGGAACUGAGCUGGAGAAAAGAUCAUUUGAGGAAGAUAGCCUCAUAUUUCAGUGGUCACUGCACAGACUGUCUUCAUGGUGCUUGAAUAAAAAGCAGGAGGUUUCAUACUGAAGUUGUUUCUCUUUGGCUAGUCCUUCUACAGAGCUUUGGGGAUGAAUUCAUUCCGAAGGCAAUAUUUUCUAAAUUGCCAGUGUGACUCUGAAGCCAACUUCAUUCUGCUUUUGGUUUAUUCCUAAACUUGAUAGAAUCCCAAGUGUUAAUCUCCGGCUGAUAUCUAACCAUCCUCUUCCACUACGCUGUCAUGGCGGGGAUUUAUGGCUGGGUGACGAGCUGCCACAUCUCUCUGAACCCUGAUGAAGACACAGAUAACAUCAUCAACUCAUCACUGAACCAUCCCCAUCAACCCCGCUUUAAUCACCCCCAAGACUGAUAACCAUUGGAGGCUGUUAAUACCUAGCAAAUUAUCUAAUCCACAUGUUGUUCGAUCUAUGUAAACUCCAGCCCAUGAGGAUCAUAAAAUAAAUAAGCGUGAA